UGCAUAUCAAAAAGCGGAGGAAAAGAAACCAACAGGGAUUGCCUUAGUAGCGGCGAGUGAAGCGGCAAAAGCUCAAAUUUGAAAUCUGGCUCUUUCAGAGUCCGAGUUGUAAUUUGAAGAAGGUAUCUUUGGGUCUGGCUCUUGUCUAUGUUUCUUGGAACAGAACGUCACAGAGGGUGAGAAUCCCGUGCGAUGAGAUGAUCCAGGCCUAUGUAAAGUUCCUUCGAAGAGUCGAGUUGUUUGGGAAUGCAGCUCUAAGUGGGUGGUAAAUUCCAUCUAAAGCUAAAUAUUGGCGAGAGACCGAUAGCGAACAAGUACAGUGAUGGAAAGAUGAAAAGAACUUUGAAAAGAGAGUGAAAAAGUACGUGAAAUUGUUGAAAGGGAAGGGCUUGAGAUCAGACUUGGUAUUUUGUAUGUUACUUCUUCGGGGGUGGCCUCUACAGUUUAUCGGGCCAGCAUCAGUUUGGGCGGUAGGAGAAUUGCGUUGGAAUGUGGCACGGCUUCGGUUGUGUGUUAUAGCCUUCGUCGAUACUGCCAGCCUAGACUGAGGACUGCGGUUUAUACCUAGGAUGUUGGCAUAAUGAUCUUAAGUCGCCCGUCUUGAAACACGGACC
This 614-nucleotide ribosomal RNA is filed under the name Candida tropicalis. RNAcentral describes it as "eukaryotic LSU rRNA". It matches the Rfam family "Eukaryotic large subunit ribosomal RNA", at positions 37 to 667 of the family's 3401-position model. The record is from RNAcentral. Lineage: Eukaryota; Fungi; Ascomycota; Pichiomycetes; Serinales; Debaryomycetaceae.